CGGGAUGCCCCUUGAUGUACUUGCCUCAUACUAGGCCUAAAGACAAUUGCGUGGCAAAAAUCAAGAAAUGUGGAUCUGCAGGGGCAUGAGAGCAUUGAGAGAACAAGAGAACUAAGUACACAGAUUAAGGUAUAUAUUUCAUACGUAGGUUAUAAAAAAACAGCGUUUUUUACGGCCUAAUAUAUUUGACCUAGGUCAUAUGAUUUUAGUUGGCAAGUUUUGAACUUAGAUCCUCUGUCCAUCUGUUACCAGACCAGGAGCCAUGACAGCAACUAAUCCUUACUCAGAAGUGUGGCUGCCGGGGAGUUUUCGCACAGCAGCUAGCUAGUUUUAGUAGUUAAUUUAGAGUUUAUUUAUGUUUCAGUGGGAAAGAGAGCCUAGCAUGCAAACUAAGCUAUAAGAGCUGGUACUUGUGCAUCUGCACGCUUGUUGAAUGUGUAACCUUGUUGUCCUCGCUUAAUAAAACUGCUGGACAUUGUACCAAGCACUUUUGUACCUUUUAUUUUAGGGUUUUUAUCACAAAUGAUCCCUGAAAUUGACUCAGCCCAUCAAGUGGUUCCUGAAAUUGAAAAUCAAUCAAUGUAGUCCUUGAAAUUGGGUGUCAUAAAUCAAUGUGGUCAUUCCGUCACUAUUUCGUCAAAAACUUUGUUAAGUGCUGAUGUGGCACUUAAAUGGAUCCCAAAAAUUUAAUAAAAUAUUAUUUUAUGAAUAAAAAAUAUUUAAAUAAUAAAAAAUAUUUUUUUUAUAAUAAAAAACUUCAAAAAAAAAAAAAAAAAUAAUGCUUCCUCUGCAACAACCAUGGCGUCUCCUCCUCCUCCUCCCCCCUGGUUCUUUCAAGCCCAACAAGUCACUCACUUUCAAGUUCAGCCUUCUCGAUGGGGCUGUGUUUGGCUACAAUUACAUUUGCAACGGUGACAAUGAGUGAUGAGUCAUGGUUGAUGAUUCGGUCGAGUUGAUUCGAAGCGGGUUAUGGGCUGCAAUGCCCGGGGUGUGGCUGCAGACCGAGAUGGAUGAGGAGGGCAAGAUAAAAUUCCAGUUGACAACAAACGUAAUCGCAGCCAAACAACCCCAUCUGGAAGUGCUGAACUUGAAAGUGAGUGACUUGUUGGGCUUGAAAGAAGCGGGGAGGAGGAGGAGACACCAUGGUUGUUGCAGAAGAAGCAUCUUCUUCUUUUUUUUCAAGUUUUUUAUUAUAAAAAAUAAUUAUUAUUUAAAUAUUUGAUUUUUGACACCCAAUUUCAGGGACUACAUUGACCGAUUUUCAAUUUCAAGGACUAUCUUGAUGAUCUGAGUCAAUUUCAAAGACCAUUGGUGAUAAAAAAAAACCUUUUUUUUUAUAUAAAUUUGGACAACGGAUUUCUAAGUAGCAAGGAAUUUAGGAUAAGUUAACUAGAAUUGCACUGCUCAUAAGCACUAUAAAGUCACCAAACAAACAAAAAUAUUAUCCUUACUAUCUAGUUAUACCAUGAUUUGUAUCAUUUCUUUAAUAGAGAUGGGACCCACGCGCGUUGGCAGACCCUAUCUCUUUAGAGAGAUUUGAAAAUGGCACAUUUUAAGUAAUCAGUUACAAAUCUCUAGCCAUGCUUUAGAAUGUGUAGUUUGUUGUAAAUAGUGGAUUGUCCACAUGUGUAUAGUAAUGUGUAUAGUAAAGUAUCAUAUGUGUAUAAUAAUGUGUAUAGUAAAGUAUCACAUGUGAAUAGUAAGUUUUGUAAGUUUUCGUUGAGGUGGCUCUAUGUUUUGUAAGUUUUCAUUGAGGUGGCUCUAUAAAUAGAGCACUUCGGUUGUUCAAUGUAAGAGAACAUCAAGAAGAGAAAAGGAAGAAAUAUAAUACUCCUAGUAUCCCUCAUUUUCUAAUAUCUGCAAUACUUUUGUCAGUGUGAUAUUUUGCACCACUUCAUCCUCGCUCUUAGCAAAGGUUAUUUAUCUACUUUUGCCUAUUUAUAAAACGUUAUCAGCAUGACUCUCUAAUCAUUUCUCAUUUCCCUUCACCGAAAGAAAAAAAAAAAUGUUUCCUCUAAGGUUUUUACUGUUCUUCUUCUUCCUCUACCUCAAUUGCUGGAUAUACCCACGCGAAGAACCGUUUGCACCAUGUUUACUUCUAGUUCUUAACCUAACAGUUACUUAUAUCUUUGAUUUCUUGUUUGGUGUAACUCUUGACUAUUAACUCAGUGUUUAUUUAUGCAAUCCAAGAUGGUGCGAUAUCAUCGCCUAUCUUGGACUGCAGAUCUAAUUUUACUGCAAAUUUUAUGUGGAGCAAUAUAAUCGCCCACCCUAUCCUGCAUAUUUAAAUUUAUCUACUAUUUAAUUUUAUCGCAAUUUUAGGUGGUGUGGAAUAAUCACCCACUCUGCUCUGCAUAUUUAAUUUUAUUGCAAUUUCAGCUGGUGCAGUAUAAUCGUCCACCCUGCUUUGCAUAUUUAAAUUUUCUUGCAAUUUUAGGUGGUGCGGUAUAAUCGUCCACCUUUCUCUACAUAUUAAAAAUUUUCCUGCUGUUUAAAGUAGUGCGGAAUAAUCGCCCAUCCUAUACUUGUUUCGAUGAGAAUGGUGCGGUACAAUCGCCCUUCUCAUUAAUCAUGUAAAUCUCGAGCCUGAAGUUUCAAGUACUUAUCAUUUUGGCCUGAAGAUAAAAAAUUUGUAAGAACUAGAAGCUCUAACAAUAUAUUCCUUCAGAACACAUAUUAUUGCAAGUUCUUACACACCUCAUUUUUCUUUCAGAAAAGAAAAUGGCAAACUUGGCAAAGCUUGAUUUUGCUGCCCUGGACAUUACUGGAAAGAAUUACCUUACAUGGGUACUGGAUACCAAGAUCCAUCUGGAAGCAGCGAAUCUUGAAUAUACCAUCAGAGAAGAGAGUAGCUCACACUCUCAAGAUCGGGCGAAGGCCAUAAUUUUUAUUCGUCGCUAUCUUGAUGAGGCACUAAAGAGCGAGUACUUAACGGUUGAAGAUCCGUUACCCCUCUGGAAGGCCUUGAGAAAUAGAUACAAUCACCAGACAAUGGUGAUUCUUCCAAGAGCUCGCUAUGACUAGACUCACCUAAGGAUCCAGGAUUUCAAGUCAGUGGCUGAGUACAAUUUGACAUUGUUUAGAAUUACCUCUUAGAUGAAGCUCUGUGGGGAUACUAUUAUUGAGGAGAUGUUAUUGGAAAAGACUUUCAACACAUUCCAUGCCUCUAACAUGCUCCUGCAACAUCAGUAUAGAGCGCGAGGCUUCACUGAAUACAACCAGCUGAUAUAUGUGUUCCUGGUAGCUGAACAGAACAAUGAGCUCAUGAUGAAAAACCAUAAUUCCUGACCUACUGGAUCAGUACUGUUCCCAGAAAUGAAUGUUGCUUCCCUUGAAAGGAAUACCAUAUCCUCCUGUGGUAAUAAUUACAAACGAGGAUGUGGCCACACGCGAGGCCGGUGGAACGGGAAAGGCAAGAACCAUGGUAUCUAGUUUCACAACCAGGUUCCAAGGCAUAAUCUAAGCCCGAGCUUUAAAAAUGCAAAUCGCCAGAAAGGAAAAGCUCAUAUGAACACUCCUAGAAAUCCUGAAGGAGUUUGCCAUAGGUGUGGUGGCAACGGACAUUAGGCGUGUACUUGUCGCACCCCAAAGCAUCUGGUGGAACUGUAUCAAGCCUCCUUCAAGGAGAAGGGUGUCGAGAUCAAUUUCUUCAACUAGGCUCAACCAAUAAAAGUAGUAUUCCAGUAUGAAUAAACUGCUUUUUCUUUACUCAGAGAUCAUGGAUAAAUAUUAUGGUUAUUCUCAAAACAAGAUCAAUGGAUGAGACUUUUGUCUUGUAGACAGCGCAACCACGCAUUCAAUAUUUCGAGAUCGAAAGUAUUUCUCGAAUUUGGUACUGCAAAAGUAAAGGUAACAACAAUAUCAGGGCAAUCAGAUGUAAUUGAAGGCUCAGGAAAAGCCCAGAUUAUGUUACCAAAAGGAACAAUAUUAUCCAUAAAGAAUGCAUUAUAUACUACUCGAUCCAUUCGAAAUUUGUUGAGUUUUAAAGACAUACGUCUAAAUGGAUACCACAUUGAAACGAAAAGUGUAGAAAAUGUGGAAUAUUUAUGCAUUACCUCAAAUGAUACCCAGAAGCAUAUAUUGGAGAAGUUGCAUGGUUUAUUGAGUGGAUUGUAUUAUACAUCGAUAAAGACAGUUGAGGCAUAUACUGUCAUGAACCAGAAGUUCAUUGAUUCAAAGGUUUACAUGCUUUGGCAUGACCGACUAGGUCCUCCAGGAUCUACCAUGAUGCGUAGAAUCAUUACCAACUCUAAUGGACAUCUAUUAUUGAGCAGACACAUUGAUGUCUCAAAUGAUAACCCUUGCAAGGCUUGUUCCCAAGGGAAGUUGGUAAUUAGCCCAUCACAACUAAAGGUUGAUGAUGAAUCCCCAUCAUUUUUGUAUAGAAUUCAAGGGGAUAUUUGUGGACCUAUUCAACCACCUUGUGGACCAUUUCGAUAUUUUAUGGUUUUGGUUGAUGCAUCUAACCGAUGGUCACAUGUUUGCCUAUUGUCUACUCGAAAUGUAGCUUUUGCGAGACUUCUUACUUAGAUGAUUAAGUUGCGAGCACAGUUCCUAGAUCAUCCCAUUAAGUCCAUUCGACUUGAUAAUGCUGGUGAAUUUACGUCUCAAACCUUUGAUGAUUACUACAUGGCACUGGGCAUUGAUGUUGAACAUCUUGUUCCUCAUGUCCAUACCCAAAAUGGUUUAGCAGAGGCAUUUAUCAAGCGGCUUCAAUUAAUAGCCCGUACUUUGCUCAUGCAAACGAAAUUGCUAGUCUCUACAUGGGGACAUGCCAUCUUACAUGCAGCAUCAUUGGUUCAACUGAGACCCAUAGCCAACCACCAAUACUCAUCAAUACAACUUGUGUUUGGACAUCAGCCAAAUAUUUCACAUUUACGAGUUUUUGGUUGUGCUAUUUAUGUGCCUAUUGCACCGCCACAACGAACUAAAAUGGAACCUCAGCGCAGACUAGAAAUUUAUGUGGGUUUUGAUUCACCAUCUAUCAUUAGAUAUUUGGAACCCUUGACAAGUGAUAUAUUUAUAGCUCGUUUUGCAGAUUGUCAUUUUGAUGAGACAGUCUUCCCGUUGUUAGGGGGAGCAAAGACCAUUCCAGAAGAACGGCAAGAGCUAACAUGGAUUGUUCCCACCUUAUCUCAUUUUGAUCCACCAAGCACUCAAUGUGAAAAUGAAGUGAAAAGGAUCGUUGAUCUUCAAGGUAUUGCUAAUAAAAUGCCAGAUGCAUUUAAUGAUGCUUCGAAAGUGACACAGUCACAUAUACCAGCUGCAAACGCACUUGUAAGAAUUGAUGUCCCUGUUGGACAAAAUAAAGUGGUAGCGAAUGAUUCUUUUAGUGCACGCUUGAAGCGUGGUAGACCCCUAGGUUCAAAAGAUUCAGCACCUCAAAAGAGAAAGAUGAGGGCACAAUUGAACCCAAAUGAAAUCAUUCAGGAAAAGAAAAUGAAUGAUAAAUCCACAAUUCAUGAUUCUAUACUUCCAGAAAAAGAAAAUGUCCUUAAAGAGACACAUGUCCCUGAAGAGACAGAAGUACAUGAAAGCAAAGAAAUAUCCAUAAAUUAUGCAUGUACUAAUGAAUUGUGGGAUCGAAAUGAAAUAAUUAUUGACGACAUGUUUGCAUUUGCCACUGAAAUUAUAUUAAGUGAUGAUAUUGAGCCCCGAUCUAUUGAAGAAUGCAAACAAGGACAAGAUUGACCUAAGUGGAAAGAUACAAUCCAAGCAGAAUUAAAUUCCUUGGAAAGGCGAAAUUAGACUAGUAGUCCAAACCCCACCUGGUGUAAACCCCGUGGGUUACAAAUGGGUAUUCACAAGGAAACGCAACGAGAAAAACGAGAUUGCAAGAUAUAAAGCAAGAUUCGUUGCACAAGGUUUUUCACAAAGACCUGGAAUUGAUUAUAAAGAGACAUACUCUCCUGUAAUGGACGCAAUUACAUUCCGUUACUUAAUAAGUUUGGUGAUUUCAGAAAAACUUGACAUGCGACUUGUGGAUGUCAUCACCGCGUAUCUAUAUGGAAAAUUAGAUACUGACAUAUAUAUGAAAGUCCUAGAAAGACUUAAGUUGCCUGAAGCAACUAACAAACCACGAGGUAUGUUCUGAAUCAAAUUAAGGCGAUCACUGUAUAGGCUAAAACAAUCUGGGCGAAUAUGGUAUAAUCGUCUCAGUGAGUAUUUAAUUAAAGAAUGAUAUGCCAACAAUGUUAUCUGCCCUUGUGUGUUCAUUAAGAAAUCAAACACUAGAUUUGCUAUAGUGGCAAUAUACGUCGAUGAUAUAGACCUAGUUGGAACCCCUGAAGAGCUCAAUAAAACUGCUGAAUAUCUGAAAGCGAAUUUGAAAAGAAAAACCUUGGGAAAACAAAAUAUUGUCUCAGCCUGCAGAUCGAGCAUUGUGCUAAUAGAAUUUUGGUCCAUCAAUCAGCUUACAUUGAAAAGAUACUGAAGCAAUUUGGCAUGGACAAGGCUUAUCCAAUUAGCACCCUAAUGGUCGUUCAUUCUUUGGACAUUAAGAAAGAUCCAUUUCAUCUAAAAGAAGAUGAUGAACUGGUCCUUGGUCCAUAAGUACCAUAUUUGAGCGCAAUAAGUGCUUUAUUGUAUUUAGCACAAUGUACUAGACCAGAUAUAGCUUUUUCAGUUAACUUGUUAGCAAAGUACAGCUCUGCUCCAACAAUUCAUCAUUGGAAAGGAGUCAAAGAUCUUCUACGAUAUCUUCGUGGGACAACAAAUAUGAGUCUCUUCUACUCAGACAAGCCCACAAAUGAUCAUAUCCUUGUUGGAUACGCAGAUGCUAGUUUUCUCUAUGAUCCGCAUAAAGCCUGCUCAUAAAAUGGAUAUGUGUUCACUUAUGGAGAUACUGCAAUUUCAUGGCAAUUAACGAAGUAAACGCUAGUUGCUACAUCUUCCAAUCACUCGGAAAUAAUUGCUUUACAUAAAGCAAGUCGUGAAUGUUCUUGGUUAAGAUCAAUGAUCCAUCACAUCGGAAAUUCAUGUGGUCUACCUUCAAAGACAGACACUCCAAUUGUCAUCCAUGAAGAUAAUGCAGCCUGUGUCACCCAGAUGAAGGAAUGAUUCAUCAAAGGUGAUAAGACUAAACACAUAUCUCUAAGAUUUUUCAGUGCACACGAGCUUCAGAAGGGUAAAGUUAUUGAAGUCAGACAAAUUCGUUCUAAUGAAAAUUUAACAGACUUAUUCACCAAAUCUCUACCAAAGUGCACAUUUCAAAAGUUGGUGCAGGGAAUCGGAUUACGUCAGCUUACAAAUUUGAAGAAUGCGGAAUCAGGGGGAGAUACAAUUCAAGGGGAGCAUCCAUGAUACAUGCAUGUUGUACUCUUUUUCCUUUGAUUAGGAUUUUUCCCACUGGGUUUUUCCUAUCAAGGUUUUAAUGAAGCAACAUAAGCAUGCUCAACACCAUCCAGGUAAAGUUGUACUCUUUUUCCUUCGCUAUGGUUUUUUUUUUUCCCACUAGGUUUUUCUAAGCAAGGUUUUAACGAGGCAGCUGAUACUGAUAUAUGGGCAUCCAAGGGGGAGUGUUGUAAAUAGUGGAUUGCUCACAUGUGUGUAGUAAUGUGUAUAGUAAAGUAUCACAUAUGUAUAGUAAAGUAUCACAUGUGAAUAGUAAGUUUUGUAAGUUUUCAUUGAGGUGACUCUAUAAAUAGAGCACUUCGGUUGUUCAAUGUAAGAGAACAUCAAGAAGAGAAAAGGAAGAAAUAUAAUAUUCUCAGUAUCCCUCAUUUUCUAAUAUCUGCAAUACUUUUGUCAGUGUGAUAUUUUGUACCACUUCGUCCUCACUCUUAGCAAAGGUUAUUUCUCUACUUUUGCCUAUUUAUAACAUAGUUUCAAUUUUAUGUAUCUAAUGUUUUACAAUUCAUGUCUUACUAAUGUAGCUUAAAUCCCUAGGUAAUGGAUAAUAUCUAGUGCAACCAUAUUAACCAUUAGAGCUGGUUUGAUAGGAUGUUGACUAGGAUGAUGAUUCAGCACAAUUACUUAUUUUGUAACUAAUAAUUGGAUAUGAGAAGUUGGUUAGUUGGUUUCAAUUAGAGAUAAGGUUGUUAGCAGGUUUCUUAGUGGCUAAGAUAGUUAGCUGCUAUAUAAGAAAAGUCGUAAGGGAAAGUUGUUGUUGUAAAAGUUGAAUAUUGUAAUAAAUACAUAGAGUUACUGUUACAUUGAGAAAGAAGUAAAGUUGGGGUUCUAUAUUUGGUAUCAACUAGUGCAUUCCAUCUUGCUUAAUCCUUUCUCGUGUAUGACUCGCCUUGCUUCCAAAAAAACCAUGGAGCCUCGUGUGUCCAAUCUCAAAUCCUUGUUUGCUUAUUUCCAGCAAGAAUUCAAAGAAUCUAGAAAUGAGAGUUCAAAAAAUCAAAAAGAAAGGAAUUCAGAGUUACCCAUGAAUUGAUCCUUCAAUAGCUGCACUUGUUAUCUUCGAGGGGUAGUGGGUCAAUCGGUGAAUCUUCUGAAGCGACACAAUUAGAUCCAAUUCGGCAAAGGGGUAUAAACCCUAAUCUGGGUACCAAUCCACUUCGCCAAGAAGUUUUUCCCAAAGCAUCGAACUAGCGCCCUCCAUUUCUUAAGAUGAACUUCCCAAGAUUUGGUGAUAGAGACAACCCUUUGGGCUGGAUUUACAAAGUUGAUCACUACUUGGAUUUCUUAGAUAUCGAAGAUUUCAAGAAAGUUAAAAUGGUUUCCUUUCAUCUUGAAGGAGAGCCUCUGCAAUGGUUUCAGUGGGCUAAUUGUAUUGCAAAAUACCCCAAAUAGGAAGAUUCACUAGGGCUUUAUGUUAAGAAUUCGAACCAUCAGAGUUCAAAGAUUUAGCUAAGAGCUUGGUACGACAAAUAGGUUUUUGCGAGAUUACAUCUUGGAAUUCAGGAGAUUAGCUAACAGAACUUGAGAUAUCAAUCCCUCUCUCAUAAAAUCUUGCUUUAUUGGUGGUCUAAAAGCUGAGUUAAGGCAUGAUGUCAAGAUCUUGAAGCCCAAAGAUGUGUUGGAAGCCACUGCAUAUGCACAAAAACUCAAUGCCAAGUUAACAUAUUUAAGGUUCAAAACUUUCUCUCAUCCUUAUGCUAAUCCUUCUAUAAGCGCACCUCUACACAAUGUUAGUAGCACACAUCUUGGAGAAAUUAAGCUUAAGAAUGAUAAUGUGCGUAGAUUAACACCUGAAGAGGUUGAGUUCUAUAGAAAAAAUGGUCUUUGUUUUCACUGCAAAGAAAAGUACACUAGGGGUCAUUCUUGUGAGAAGAAACAAUUGCUUCUUAUUGAUGUUCAAGGUCCUGGAGAAAUUGUAGCUAUUGUGGAAGAAAAAUUAGAACCUAAUAUUACUACAUGUGCUUUGUUUGAUACUCCUGCUCCUAAACCAAUAAAACUUAAAGGUUGGGGGAAUGAUAAAAAAACUGGUAGUAGUCCUGCUUAUUAAUUCAAGGAGUUCUCACAAUUUCAUUGUUUUAUCCUUGGUCAAAAGAAUUAGAGAGGCCUUAAUGAGAUUACAAUUAAGGAUAAAUUCCAUAUUCCAUUAAUUGAUGAAUUGUUAGAUAAACUAUUUGGUGUUGAGUAUUUUUCCAACUCAGACUUAAGAUUAGACCAUCAUCAAAUUAUGAUGCAUCCUAAUGGCAUUGUGAAAACUACAUUUCGAACUCAUGAUGGUCACUAUAAGUUUUGGUUAUGUCUUUUGGCUUGACUAAUGCUUCAACCACAUUUCAAUGUCUAAUGAAUGAGAUAUUCAAUCCUUACCUCAAAAAAUUUGUCUUAGUCUUUUUUUAUGAUAUAUUGGUGUGUUGUAGAACUUGGGAAUUGCAUUUGGUACAUCUCAAGAUAGUAUUUGAGCUACUGCAAUCUCAUACCUUGUAUGUUAAGCAAUCCAAGUGUGCCUUUGGUCAAGCUCAAGUGGAAUAUCUAGGACAUAUAGGCGGCGUUUAUUACACCUCCUUAGCAAGAACUAGCUUAGACUGGCUUAAGUGGGAUUCUAAUUCUAUGUUUGGAAUGGUAUUGGACUACAAUUAAUGAGACUCGCCUCGACUAGGAGGCGCUGUCUCCUUCGCUAAACCACGCUAUCUAGUCCCAUGCUUUACCUUGGUAUUAAGAGGGACUAAAAAGGAGACGAGGCCGAGAUCCAGAGCCAAGCUUUCUUGCUAAACCCCAACACCAAUCCCUAGGCUUUGCUUUCUUCUUCUCUGGCGUCACCGUGGCAGGCAAUUGGCGGUGCUUGUUCUUCCUUUUUCCCACAAAAUUCCGAGACGGCUAGCUUUAGGGACGGACAGAAAAUUCCCAGAAAAUCCAUGAGCUUUGCCUUCUUCUUCUACCCAUCUCCAAAGAACUCUUUUCUUUGUUUCAGAUGAAGCUCAAAGCUUCAUUCUGUUUGAUCGACACUUUGACCAAAUGCCCGGAAAAAAAAAUUCAAGAAAUAUCCAAUCAAUGGAGUCAGUCAAAUUAUUAAUAGAGAUGAUGGUUGUAUAGAUUACAGAGGUCAAAGAAAGAGAUGGGAAGGAUUUACGAUCUGCAAGAAUAAGAGGUGGAAAAUGAAGAGAAUGGGGACGGAACCAAACGAGGGAGACAAGGAGGAAGGCAUUUUUUUAAUUAAUUAUUUUCAAGUCAGAAGUAGAAUAGGAGAGAUGUUUCCAGAAAAUGUUAGUUUUUUGGGGGAAAAAAAUGAAAAACGUUGAAUGAAUAGUAAAAUAUUAUUGGACAAACAUUAAAUAAUAUAAUAUUGUAUUUGUUAAUUAUCUUUUUUUUAGUCUGACACUGCUCUAAAUGCUUAACUAGGUCAGUCCAGCUUAGUCUAGUCUAAGCAAGUCCAACUUAGUCCCUGAAGAUAGUCCAGUUCGAGAUAGUCCGAUGUAACAAAUGCACCCAUAGUAUCUAACAAGUGAGUGGCAACUAAUCCAUCUACCAAUUGGCCUGUUCCAACCACUACAAGAAAAUAUGGAAUAAGUGACGGAAUUUUAUGUGACGCCCAAAAAUUCGUCACAUAUAGGAAAAUUAUGUGACGAAAUGUCAAAAUGUGUCAUGCAUAACUGGUUUGCUAGGUAAGGAAUUUGAAAACACAUAUGUGACGAUAAAUACGUCACAUAUUCCAAAAUUGAGUGACGAAUAUGACAAGCGUCACUUAUAACUAUUUUAUAUCUUUUAGGAUGAAAAAAGAAGUGACACAAAAUUUUCGAAGUCCUUACUAAAAUAUAUGGUGUGGAAGAAUGGCGCCCUGCGAAAUACAAUAAAUGAGGAAUUUCAAAGUGGGUCACAUAUUUGUAUCCUUUGUGAGGAAAGUGGUUGUCACAUUUUGAAUGGGGAAUAAAAGUUUCAACAAGAAAAAAAGAGUGAAUCAAAUAUUAAUAUUUUAUAGAAUACUCUAUAUCUUAGACUUCUCCCUCUGUCUCUCAUUUACUUUCCUUCUCUCUGUCUCUCAGACUUCUAUCCUUUCUCCGUCACCGUGACCCAACAUCAUGGCAGUACCAGGAUUUUCUGAGCCAAUCACAGCUGCCUCAACUCUCAAUCUUCUUUUCUCUCUACUAUGACAAUACAGGAUUUUCCGAACCAAUCACUGAAACCCAUUCUCAUCCUUUCCCUCUCUAUCACGCUCCACAGCCAAAAACCUUAAAGACUCUGUUCGUCUAGAGGAAUAUCCAGUGAGGAGGUUCCCUGGCCAACGAGCACACAGCUCCCCGAGAGGUUGGCACCGAUUGAUAUUGUCUGUCGAGUUUCUGCUUAUUGGCAGGCUGUAAGAGAAGGACCCAGUUAGUUAUGAAAUGUGCCUUUGUGGGGCCUUAGAUGUAGGCCUUGAGGCUUCCCGUCAAAACUAACCGAAUACUUGAAUACAUCUUGGUUGUUUCAUUAUUGCAUACGUAUCACUCCCAUUAUACGUUAAUUACCCGAGCCCGCAGAUCAGAAUGAAGUCAAAUAGGUGUCUUUGUCGGGCCUUAGGUAUAGGCCUUAAGGCUUCCUAUCAAAGUUAAUUCUAUACUCAAGCGUUAUGUGGGAAUUAAGAUAUAACAGAAGAAAAACUAGAGAAUAAGCUAAUUACUUGGGCCCCAAGUAACUUCGGACUUCUGGUGAUCAAAGAUUGUCGUGGAUGGGUUAAGUCCACAUAAAGUUCUUUUUAGGCCUUGAGACCAAGGACAUUUAAUUGGUCAAUCUUGUCUGCCCGAAUGGUUAGAACUUCGAAGUCUUUUAAUCAUAAAAUGGCUAGCAAUAACUUGGAUGCAGAUGGAAACAUACAUCAUAGUACUAGAUCUAUGAAUGAAAGGCAACAACAAAGGAGGUCGGGCAAGGCUGAUCGUCUUGCAACUUCCUCUCUUUGUGAUUUAUAGAGUGUUCGAAUGCUAGAAGGGGAGAUUGGAUGAUGAAUCUAUAUGAGGUGAUCGAUACUACAACAAGAUUUAAACAAGGUAGCAGAGCUUUUACAAAGGAUUUCUGGUGAAGGUUGAUCCCGAAAGGGAUGAAGACUGGGGGCUGACUACAGCUUCGUGAAGGCAAAUCUGGUUUGAGCAAAGUUUGUGGUUGUAUUUGUUUGUUUGAUUGAGUGUACUUGUCUCUGAUUUUUCUUCCUCCUUUUAUAAACAAUUUAGCUUGGCUGUCUGCAGUGUUGAUUUUGCCCGAAUGCAUCUGAAGGGCAAUGACGCAUCAACUUUUUACUUGUACUGCCAUUGUAAAGUACUUUUGGGUUGAUUAGCUGGCUAGUCUACACCACUUGACCCCUAGGUAGGUGAGCAGGUAGUUUAAAUGAGCUGCACCUGGUCGGGAAACAAGCCCCUUCUUGCUUCUGGACUUCGGCUGGGCCUUGGACUUUUCCUUCUUCUGAACCUCUUUUUGGGCUUUCUUUUGGGCUAACCUCUUCUUAACCCAAAGUUCAAGUUUUAUCCUAAACAAUGCCCCCUUCAAUUAAUAUUCAGGCUGGAAUUUCAGGCACCAAUAUUAAUUAAAUAGCCGCAUGUCUGUAUACCUGCUCUCGGAACUUGUAUCCCUUCGUCCAGAUACUCUAUUUCUUUCAGACUUCAAACUCCCGUUGGCUCUUUGUUCCAUAGCUUCUACCCUUUUCAUCUUCUCAUCACGUUUCUUUCGAACUUAUUAAAUGGCUUCAGGAUCCGACCAAGCCCAGCUAUCAUAAGAAUCUGGUGAAGGCAUCGCUACGUUACGCCGUUUACUCAACGGAUUGCAUCGCCCUCGGGCAGGUUUGUGUUCUGAACGUUUCUUUGAAGCUCAUGUGGUACAAUUGUUGGGUCCUGCAUGGAUUUCUCACAUCCCUGCUAUGAUAGAAAAUAAUAUGCCCAGGAGUAACUGGUUUACCCCUAACCCUUUCUUGGCUAAGUCGGGCAUCUCUUCAGCUAAGCAGUCGUCAUACCAUCGUGGCUUUCCCCUAAUGAACGACCCAUCUUGGACUCGGUGGAUUGAUGAACUAGAGCCAAUUUUCAAGAAAAAGUGGAUGAACAAUGGUAUUUACGAACUGCUAAUGCUUUCAAAAACUACCAUUGUUCCCAAGCCCGAACUGCUUGCUACUUUUUUUUUUUUCUGGAAUUCAGGCACGAAGACUUUUGAUUUUUGCAUAGGUCCCAUGUCUCCGACUAUUCUAGAUAUGGCCCAAGUUUUCGGGCUAAGACCAUCGGGCAUGAUUGUAGAUGUCACCCAAGACUGGGUUCCCUCUUCAUCUUCAAUCACUGAAAGCUCUAGUUCCUCCGCCUAUUUUCUUCAAUUGGAAUAUAACUGUGCAAUUUUUAAGAGUUAUGGGACUUCCUUCAAGGGAUUUAUCCCUUUUGUCAAGGAGAAUUUUGGUGCUGAUUCAUCUUCUGCUAACAAAGACAAGGAACAUAUGUAUUUCCUCCUAUAUUGGCUCAACAAGCAUGUCUUCCCAAAUAAAUCUAAAGGGGUGAAGGUUGAAUGGAUCCCCUUAGUAGAAGCCCUUCAUAACUUUGAUGAUGUAGCCACAGGUCCAUUUCUUCUUUCUCAUCUUUAUCAUCUCCUUUUUGAAAUGACUUAAGGUGAACCAUUUGAAACUAAUCUGAACAGACCCAUAUGGAUGAUCCAAAUAUGGCUCCAAUGGUAUUUCCCAGAAUUUCAGGCUAGUAAUUUAGAAUUCUCAGAAGGUGUAGCUCCUGCCCGAAUCCUAGCUGAAGCUACCCCCACAGAUCACUCUACUUUUGCCUGUUUUUAUUUCUUCAAGAUUUGUAGAACCCGAUCAUACCUGGAGUGGGGCGCUUUAGUUUUGAGGAGAUAUUCCUGGUUCUCUGAUCAAGCAUUCCAAGAUGCUCCCGGAGAAGAUGCCACCUCAUUUUGCAGGGAGAAAUUCAUUAGUUGUAUUCAACAAAGAGACAUAACCUAAGGAGUUCGUGGUAACCGUUAUGAUCGAGGAUUGGAAGUGUAUCUCCUUAAUUUUUGUAGCAGGCAAUUAGGCUUUAGGCAAGCCAUUCCUAUCCUCUUUUUUUACUCUGUCCAUUGUGGUACUUCUUUCCGGUUACCAUCCCCUUCAGAUGUGACCUUUCGAAUUGCCCGACGAAGUCUUGAAGUUAUGAAUUAGGCUGCCCGAAAGUCUAUAGUUUUGAACUUCGAAUGUACUUCAUUCUUCUCCACCUGGUAGGAAGCCAAAUGUACCAAGAAAUAUGGAGGAGAUUUGCGAGAAACUCACGACCGUCUCUUUUGUCAACUUUCUCUUAAGUCAUACCCAAGUUUGGGUGAGCUUGAAAACUGGAAGGAAAUGAUCCAGCAGAAGAACUGGUUACUUUUUAUAGGUAUUUCUCUCCCUGUCCUGAUCAUGCCUUCCUUUGAGGUUAAAGUUAUUUAGUCUUAUUUUCCUUGAUCCUGUAGCUCAAGUAGAUGUUGAAACGAAAUCCAUCGAAUUAGAAGAGGAUUCAGCUGAUGCAGCAGUUCUUCAUGGAGCUGCAGUAGAAGCUCAAAGGCGAAAAGCUGGAGUAGGCGGAGAUGUUUCAGAAUCAUUUGGAGAUUCAAAUGUUGAAGAAGUACCUGAAGCAAACAUCAAAGCGUCAAAGCGGAGAAAAGUAGUUGUGGUCGAGACCUCAGAAUCCGAACCUGUAUCACCACACAAACCUAAAUGGCCAACUCCCACCAGAAGGAGUAAGAGAGCGAGGACUGUUCAAGCUUCUAAGUCUUCAGCUUCCUCAGCUCUAGUUUCUAAGGCAGGCAUAACAAAGUAGAAGUCUUCAAGUAAGUUUUUUAGUUUUUUUUUUUUUUUCAAUUAGAUUGCCCCCUUGCUUAUCUGAUUAUCUCCAUACUUCUCUCUUUGAAAUCAGGGCCUCAUAUUUAUGAAAAACCAACUAUCACACCUAGGGCGGAUCCACUGGGAACUGAAAUGCACCAAAUAGCUGAAGAUCUACAAAAGGCCAUCCUCAAGGAGAAUGAGGUAUUUGCUUGAUCAAGCUAUAAGUGAAUAAAAGAUUCUUCUGCUUGAGAUCUCUGAAACAAAUGAUCGAACUUCUUUCUUCCUUUUUUUUAUCCAGGUUGGUGUAUCUGCCACAUUGCCUAGCCAAGGUUCCCCUCCAAAGUCUUCUAUUUCUCCUUCUGCUCUGGAUGUAACUCCAUCUUCUCAAUUUGAUCCAGCAACAUGAGUUAUGUUGCAUUUUUAUAAAUGAAGACAGCAAUUUGGUGAGCAGUUAUUUGAACAUUGAAUUUCCAUACACUAUGCCCGUACUAAAUUUCCAUUUACAAUUCCUCCAGCCAUCUUCAAUACAUGAAGCACGACAACCACCAAUGGUAACAUUUGAAGAACCCGUAGCCCCUGAAAUCCCUGUGACCCCAAGGGUAGCUAUUUUGCAAGUGUCACCUUGCCUGAUAGGUACCACCGAUGAACCUCAUUCUUCUCCCCUUACUCAGGUAUGGAUAUAUUUUCUUUCUGUUCUCUUCUCAUACCUGUUUAUUAAUAAUUGCCAUAAUUCCUGGAUGCUCUUACGUCAUGGGUGAAGGUUCGGGCCCAACUUUUUCUUCCCCUGUUGGUGAUAGUGAUUCUCCCCCUCAAACAGGAGCUGAUACUCUUUCUUUUAAAACCCUAGGGCCCAUUCAGGCAUAUUGCUUCUUCCCAGAUUUCCUUUCUGCUUUAAAUUGUUUAACUAUUUUUCUUGCCUUAAUCUAGUCUUCUUUGGUUCUCGCAGCAGGCCAUAGGAGAAGCUUCGGGCAAGUCUCCCUCACAUGUGGUGUAUAAAACGGAGUUCCCCCGGCCUUCUUCAACUUUUGGAGAUACAGGGAUUUCCCUUCCUGGAAUUGAGAGGACUGAGACUGAAGUCGCCUCAUCAGCGGUUACUACUCCCUUAGAAGAUACUGGAGUACGAACCCCUCCCCCUUUAUUUUCAACAACUACUGAUUUGCUCGAACUUUUUGAAGAAUUCGGGCAACUUGAAACAAGGCUGAAAUCUUCAAAGCGUUCUUCUGAACCUUCUGGCUUUCAAGAACAACGUCGAGCUUUCCAAGAUUGGGUGAAGAAAGACUUCUCAGCUUCAUUCAACCUUAAGGCUCUUCAUGUUAUAGAAAAAAAAAAGAUAGAGCUUUCCAAGGCUGGCCGGUUAUCCAACACUUAACAUGAUUCCUUUUUCUCUUUCUUUGAGAACUUGAGGGCUCUCAGGAUCAACAUCAGAGAGCUGAAAGACAAGCCAGUAGUGUAAAAUGCUUCAAGGAGAAGGAAUCAAGUACUUCUGCACAGGUCGAGCGGUUAAUGGAUGAGGGCUUGCUGACAAAAGAAAGGAUUGGCGUGGUAACUUCUGAAAUCCAGAAGUUGGAAGAACAACUCAGCGUUCUCAAGGCUGAGCAAGCAACCCUUCUUGGCACCCUUAAACAUCAGAUUGAAGAAGUGAAGAAAUCAAAUGUAGAGCUCGAACAUACUAAAUCUCAACUUACUAAUAACAACACUGUUCUAGCCAAACCUGGUAGAAUUUUUACAAUCAUGCAGACUUAUCAUUCCUGAAUAAUUACUCUGAGUAAAGAUGUAACCUUGUUAGACUAGAAUGAACAUGUGUUUUGCAUCUGCUUGUCUUGCUCAAGGACAUGUCCCAUGUUAUAUAUUCGGGCAACUCCCUGCCCCCCCCUUAUUUUCUUUUUUGUUUCUUUUCUACUUCCCUUACCAAUACCAAUUUCAAGACCUAAUCUUGAUCAACUAGUCCUCUUUCUGAUAUUAUUGACAUGGAAGUGUUAGGGGAACAUAGGAUCUAUGUCCCUCUUCUUUCUUAACAAAUGAUGAUCUUAGCUUUUCUACCCAACCCAGGUUGAUCAUAUUGAUAGGGGCUUCCGGGAAUGGGUUUGUAUCAACCAGCAUACCAGUUUGGGGCUUGUUAAGCAACAGCUUGCCCUUCACUAUAAGGUCUUGUAUCCAAUCUCUGAACUGGACACAAUUGGUUAUAUAAUGGUCGAUGGUAUAAUGCAACUUGCAAUACUUCUUCCCUCUUAGUUCUUCUAGCUUAGGCAUCUUCUUAGUACUGUCGUGCAAAAUUAUUCUUGCCCGCACCAACUCUUCGUAGAUCUCCGAAGCUUUUGCCAAGUCAAAGGAAUAACUCUAGUAUUUGGGCAGUUUCAUAGGGACAAACCCUCUAUCAUUCAUCAUGAUUUUCUGAUCUUUGAUAGGUUGGACCAAACCUUUCACCAUUAAUGGUUUGAAAUGUGUAGUCAUUUCAGCAGCACAAACAUCAAUCUCCUCUCUAUCAUGACUAUCUUCAUGUUCUGGCCCUGCUUUUUCGUCUUCCACACGAUGAAUUGCAGCUUUGUUUUUGUAAAAGGGAGGAGUCUUGGAAUUGUGCUUCACCUGUCAUUCUUCUAACAGCAACCUUUCAUACUGUGUGGCAGCGAUUACCAACUCCUGUAACUCAUUAAAUUGUGUAUCAUAGAACCUUUUUCUCAAAGGUAAUCUUAAAGCCUUCUGAGCAAUUGAUAUAAGCUGAGCUGGGUUGACAGGGAAUUGGCAUCUCAUUCUUGUUUUUCUAAACCUCAUCAUGAAAUCUUCUGUGAUCUCAUGGUCGUCUUGCUUGACUUCAACUAGGUCAUUGAUAGUCAUUUUUGGUUCUAUUCUGUAAAACUAUUCAUGGAAGGCUAUCUCUAUCUGCCCCCAAUUGGCAAUAGAGUUAGGGGGUAAUAGAGAGUACCAUUGUGAUGCUAGCCCCGCCAAUGAAUUUCCAAACAACCUCAAUUUGUAGUUCGGGUUGUCUUCAUAUGCCACACAAUAAUUGGAGAAUUUGAAAAUAUGAUCUCUAGAGGACACACUUCCAUUUUCUCCAGUGAAUAUUGGGAAUGUAGGCAUUUUGAAGUUAAUAGGAAAUGGGUUCUGCUCAUCAAUAUAUUCAGGAUAAGGUUUUUGAUAGGUAACCCUGAUUAUAGGAUGAGCUUGUGGUUGAGCAUUAUGAGCCACUGUCCUCCUCAACUCAGCCAACUCCUCCCUCAGUUGUUGAGUAGCUGUAUUAUUAUUAUGGAAGAUAAGAGCAGGUUCAUUCUUUGGGCUUUGGUCAUUUCCCGUUCCUGCUCCCUUUUUUGACUCGGGCUUUCUCCAGUUAGCUCAUCCUCCCUUAUUAGCCAAAAGAGGUAGCCUAUAAGGAAGAGGCUUAUCUGAGGUGACAAAGCCUUCUUUUCCGCUGAGUUCUCCGGUUAUUAUGGGCAUCCCAUACCUCGUCAUUUCUUGUUCAUUCUGCUUCCUAUUAUUAAAUGAUAAUAAUGAAAAGCUGGGGAAUUCUUUUUGUAGAACCGGUUCAAUCAUGGGUUGGCUUCCUUCAGGUACUUCUUUUUCCUUUCCCUUAUCUUGUUUUUCUUCCAAUAACGGAAAUAGGGGAAUAACUGGUUCACUUCUGAUGGUAACCUGGCUCAUCCCACUUCCUUGAACACCUUUUGGAGUAGAAAACUCCAGAUCUAGUCUUCUCUGUAGAUUCCCUGUUAAGGUACACAGUCUACUUACUUCCCCCUUAGUUUCCAAAGAGAUUUUUUCCAUGCUCUUCAACACUUGUAUCAUAGUAGCCUGCAAUUCUUCAUUAGUUCCUUUUCCUUCAGCUCUUCCAGAUGAAGUUGGGUUUUCCAGAACCACAUGUCCUGAUGGAGAAGAACAAUUUCCUGAUUGCUCUGUCAUUUGUAGCAAAGGUUGAGAUGAAUUGUCCUUUGUACUCUUUCUGCAAGGUUUAUGGCUUUUCUUCUUUGACAUGCGAGAUUAACGCAACUGCGUCCCACCGGGUGUGCCAAAACUAUGUUCGUCUAGAGGAAUAUCCAGUGAGGAGGUUCCCUGGCCAACAAGCACACAGCUCAUCGAGAGGUUAGCGCUAGUUGAUAUCGUCUGUCGGGCUUCUGCUUAUUGGUGGGCUGUAAGAGAAUGACAAAGUUAAUUCUGAAAGGUGCCUUUGUGGGGCCUUAAGUGUAGGCCUUGAGGCUCACAAUCAAAAUUAACUUUAAGAAUCCAGGCGUGCCACUGUCAUCUUUAGCAUGACAGAUGUAAAACCGAUGUUAAGUUUUAUGGUGUAUAUAUAUAUAUAUAUAUAUAUGCCUGAGCGACCCAGUUAGUUAUGAAAGGUGUCUUUGUGGGGCCUUAAGUGUAGGCUUUGAGGCUUCCCAUCAAAACUAACCGAAUACUUGAAUACAUCUUGGUUGUUUCAUUAUUGCAUACGUAUCAUUCCUGUUAUACAUUAAUUACCCGAGCUCGCAGAGCAGAAUGAAGUCAAAUAGGUGCAUUUGUCGGGUCUUAGGUAUAAGCCUUGAGGCUUCCUAUCAGAGUUAAUUCUAUACUUAAGCGUUCUGUGGGAAUUAAGAUAUAACAAAAGUAAAACUAGAGAAUAAGCCAAUUACUUGGGCCCCAAGUAACUUCGAACUUCUGGUGACCAAAGAUUGUCGUGGAUGGGUUAAGUCCACAUAAAGUUCUUUUUAUACCUUGAGACCAAGGACUUUUAAUUGGUCAAUCUUGUCUGCCCGAAUGGUUAGAACUUCGAAGUCUUUCAAUCAUAAAAUGGCUAGCAAUAACUUGGAUGCAGAUGGAAACAUACAUCAUAGUACUAGAUCUAUGAAUGAAAGACAACAACAAAGGAGGUCGGGCAAGGUUUCACCUUGUCAGGUAAGGCUGAUCGUCUUGCAACUUCCUCUCUUUGUGAUUUACAGAGUAUUCGAAUGCUAGAAGGGAAGAUUGGACGAUGAAUCUAUAUGAGGUGAUCGAUACUACAACAAGAUUUAAACAAGGUAGCAAAGCUUUUACAAAGGAUUUCUGGUGAAGGUUGAUUCUGAAAAGGAUGAAGACUGGGGGCUGACUACAGCUUCAUGAAGGUAAAUCUGGUUUAAGCAAAAUUUGUGCUUGCAUUUGUUUGUUUGAUUGAGUGUCCUUGUCUUUGAUUUUUCUUCCUCCUUUUAUAGACGAUUUAGCUUGGCUGUCUGCAGUGUUGAUUUUGCCCGAAUGCAUCUGAAGGGCAAUGACUCAUCAACUUUUUACUUGUACUGCCAUUGUAAAGUAUUUUUGGGUUGAUUAGCUGGCUGGUCUACACCACUUGACCCCUAGGUAGGUGAGCAGGUAGUUUAAAUGAGCUGUACCUGGUCGAAAAACAAGCCCCUUCUUCCGUCUGGACUUCGGCUGGGCCUUGGACUUUUCCUUCUUUUGAACCUCAUUUUGGGCUAACCUCUUCUUAACCUAAAGUUCAAGUUUUAUCCCAAACAAUGCCCCCUUCAAUUAAUAUUCAGGCUGGAAUUCCAGGCGCCAAUAUUAAUUGAAUAGCCGCAUGCCUGUAUACCUGCUCUCGGAACUUGUAUCCCUUCGUCCAGAUACUCUAUUUCUUCCAGACUUCAAACUCCCGUUGGCUCUUUGUUCCAUAGCUUUUACCCUUGUCAUCUUCUCAUCACGUUUCUUUCGAACUUAUUAAAUGGCUUCAGGAUCCAGCCAAGCCCAGCUAUCAUACGAAUCUGGUGAAGGCAUUGCUACCUUACGCCGUUUACUCAACUGAUUGCAUCGCCCUCGGGCAGGUUUGUGUUCUGAACUUUUCUUUGAAGCUCAUGGGGUACAAUUGUUGGGUCCUGCAUGGAUUUCUCACAUCCCUGCUGUGAUAGAAAAUAAUAUGCCCAGGAGUAACUGGUUUACCCCUAACCCUUUCUUGGCUAAGUCGAGCAUCUCUUCAGCUAAGUGGUCGUCAUACUAGGGGGCCCGAGCACUCCCAGGAUGGGUGACCCACUGGGAAUUUACUCGUGAGUUCCCAGAAACAAAACUGUGAGGGUGUGGUCAGGGCCCAAAGCGGACAAUAUCGUGCUACGGUGGUGAAGCGGGUCCGGAAGUGAUUCGCCUCGGGCCGGGAUGUGACAAUUGAGGUCAAUUUGAUGUUUGUAGUUGUGAGUGUAAAAGACAUUUGUUGUUUGUCUUCCAUGUAUGUGCGAUAAACUAGUCUCCAUAAUUUAAGAAUACUUAUCAAUGUUGACAUUGCCCAAUACAUCCAUUUGUAUAAAAAAUUUAAUUGCCUUGAUUUGUUGCUUGUUUCUGGUAGCUAUAAUUAUAAUUGAAUAUACAUUUACAUUGUCGAGGAAUAUUUAAUAUAUGUGAAAUGUCUGAGAGCGUUUCUUGUACUCUAUGACCAGAGAUUGGAAACUUUAAAGUUAAUUGCUACUAUUUGGCAAUUUAAGUGUUUUUAAUAUGUUUCAAGGUUAAGGAAAGUUGAUUUGUUGUUUUUAAUAUGUUUCAAGGUGAGAGAAAGAUGAUUGAGGGAUCAUGGCAACAAUAAGAAUAGGAUAUCCUGUUUUGGAGCCAAGCACUGGUAAUUUCUUGUCAUCUUUACUUGCUACUACUCUAUAAUUAGUCUGGUAGUGUUUUCAUGAAAUCCAUUUUUAUUUAUUGUGUUUUGGUUGAUCUUAUUUCAUUUUUAUGACAUAUGUAAUCUCUAUAAAGCUAACUCCAAAUCUUAGUACCGUUCAUUUUGGUACUCUCUUAUUCUCUAAAGCAUUGUUAGUUGAUUAGUAUAGAAUAAAAACAGAAUUAUGAAGAUUUUGCAGGUCAAUCAGUUCCUAAUUAACAUAAGGCUGAGUUAAGAGCAUUAUCUACUAAUGAUGGAAGUUGGCUAUAUCUAGCUAAAUUUUGGAAUGACUAUCUAAUCCAUUAUGGUUUAUAGCCCCUUUCUCUUGUAGUGCUAGUCAUCAUGUGGGAAUUGAGGAUUUUGGUCUUAUUGCUUUUUAGGAAUGGCUUGUUUCGGAUUGGGUUUUAUUUAAAUUUUGACAUAUCUUUGUUAUUUACCUUACUUUCGUUGGCAGAAAAUUGAACUAUACCGAACUAGAAUUUGUGCACUUUUGAAUAUAGAUUAAUUGAGUGAGUUUGUUAUUUGUUAGACAUGGGAUAGUGCUCAAUUUUUAAUUAUUUUUUUUCUCUUGUAUCUCCAUAGGUUUCUGAGAAAUUUUUUGUUGGAUAAGUUAUUAUCGCCCUCCAACCAACAAUAGCAGCAACGCGAGAGUCUUUCAUGACCCAAUUCGGUUUCAUGUAGUCUUAUUGUAUGACAGUGGGAGACUUAGGUUGUUUUAGGGCUUUUCAUCAGUUUAAUGUUUCUAAACCACAUAUGUUCUCUUGUACAUGGUCAAUUUAUUAAACAUGUUAGUAAUGUUAUUGCAUUUAUUGAUUUAUAAAUUGUCAUUACGUUGUAAUUCAUAUUAUUCAUCUUCCUGGUUCAUUAAAUAAAGUAUUAAUUAUAGAUUAAAAAAUUAAAUGAGAAAAAGCAAAAUCGAAGGAAAAAUUGAAAUUCAAACAUAUGUGACGAAAGCAUUAGUCAUUACAUAUUCUAAUAAUAAAUGACGCUCAAAGCGUCACAUAUUUGUUCAACUAUGGAGUUCGAGCUGCGAAUAUGUGAGGGAAAGAAGUGUCACAUAUAGAUAUAAUAGGUGACAAAUGUUAAAAUUCAUCACAUUGACUAUAGGUGACUGUGUAUAUAUGAUGCAUUUUGUGACGCAGGAAAUUCAUCACAUAUAGGUAUAUGUGACGAAUUCUAGUGUAUAUGUGACAAACCCAUUCAUCGCAGAAUCCAUGUUUUCUUGUAGUGAACAUUAGUGAAAGCUUUAAGAGGAUUUCUGGGGCUUACAGGGUAUUAUAGGAAAUUUAUUCCCGAUGUUGGAAAAAUCAUUGGCCAUUUGAUAGUUCUUAGUAGCCACAACAACAUUCAAUAUACUCAAGCAAGCUAUGACCUCUCCUCAGGUAUUGGCAUUACUUGACUUUACUCAGCCCUUUAUGAAAGUGAUGCUUCAGGUUUUGGUAUUGGAGUUGUAUUACAGCAAAAUGGAAGGCUUAUUGCCUUUACCAACAAGACUUUGUGUGUUAGAAAUCAAUCUCUAUCUGCUUAUGAAAGAGAAUGAGGGCUAUCAUUCAUUCAAUUAAGAAAUGGCAAUCAUAUUUAGUGGAAAGGCAUUUUAUUAUCAAAACAAAUCAUCAUAGUUUGAAGUUUUUCUUGCAAAAUAUAGCCAAUACUCAUUUUCAAUAGAAAUGGGUCUCUAAAUUGCUUGGUUUCAACUAUGAGAUAUAGUAUAAACAAGGGUGUGAUAAUUAAGUGGCUGAUGCCUUUUCUAGAAUCGCUAGGGAUGCACAAAUGGUUCCACCAGAUUCUCAACUUUCUCACAUGGAAUUCCUAGCUAUUUCUUAUCCAUAUCUCAGUUGGAUGGAUGAUUUAGGAAGACAUAGUGAACAAGAUUCUUGGAUUUUGGCAAAAAUACAGGAAGUACAGAAUAUCACAGAUUUAUCUGCACUCAAAUCUUUUGAAAUACUAGGUUGACAAUGGGUUCCUAAAGUACAAGUACAUAAUUGUACUAAGUCCCACUAGCUCUUGGAGACAAACUGUAUUUGAAGAAUAUCAGAAUAGUCCUUUUGCUGGUCAUGCUAGGUUCUUAAAAACAUAUAAAAGGCUUUCCAGAUCCUUUUACUAGAUUGGUAUGAAGAAAGAGAUCAGAGACAUGGUAGCUAAUUGCCAAACUUGUGAGCAACAGAAGUAUGAAACUUUGGCUCCAGCUGGAUUAAUUCACCCUCUGCCAAUUCCUUCUAGAAUGUGGUCUAAUAUUUCAAUGGACUUCAUAAUAGGACUGCCACCUUGUAGAGGUAAAACUGUUAUUUGGAUUGUAAUUUAUAGGCUUUCUAAAUAUAGGCAUUUUGUAUUAUUGUCACACCGAUUCACUUCUGCAUCAGUUACCAAUCUCUUUGUUGAACAUAUUUUUAAGCUUCAUGGGAUGCAUCUUUAUAUUCAGUGAUACAGAUCCUGUGUUUAUAAGUGCUUUCUGGAAAGAAUUUUUUGCACUUAAUUUAAGGAUCAUCCUUGUGUUUCAGUUGAGGUUACCAUCAUCAAACUGAUGGUCAAACAAAAGUAGUUAAUAAGUGUGUGCAGAAAUACUUAAGGUGUUUUUAUAGUUUCCAACCUAAGAAAUAGUCUAUGUGGCUACCCUAGGCAGAAUGGACCUAUAACACAACUUAUCAUUCUACUACAAAACUAUCUCCAUAUAAAGUGGUUUAUGGUCAACCUCAUCCAUCUCUUUCUAUCUAUAAAGCUGGUACUACUAAGUUGGAAAUGGUUAAUAGAAGUUUGUUAGAGAGACAAAAUGUUGUCACUACUUAAAACUAAUUUGGAAGCUGCUCAUGUGAGAUUGGUACCUUAUCAACAAAUUUCAUUGGCUUCUCACCCUUCCAUAUGCUGCAACCAAGAUUUUAUAGUCCCUUGUGAAAUAUUGGCUAAGAUUGGUCCAAUUGCUUACAAAUUAAAGCUUCUAGCAACAUCCAAGUUACAUCCUAUUUUUCAUGUUCUUGUCUAAAAAAACAUUUGGGUGCUGCAAUUCAACCUAUACUGUUCAUUCACAAGUGAUUACUAAUGCUUGUAUUUUACAAGAUGUGCUAUUGGCAAUUUUUGACAAAAGGAUGAUUAAAAGGGGCAAUACUGUAGUCAUUGAAGUGUUAGUUCACUACCAGAAUCAUACUCCAGAAGAAGCUACUUGUGAACCUUCUCAGAUUUGAAGACUCAAUUCCCUGAAAUGGUUCAUUUGUAAUGUUCUUCAGUUGUUCAACUUGAGUUUUACACUAUUUUUAAGUCUUGUUUUACAACUUGUUUUAAGGGGGGAGGGGUAUUGAUAAGAUGUUGACUAGGAUGAUGAUUCAGCACAAGUAGUUAGUUGUUGUAACUAAUAAUUGGAUAUGAGAAGUUGGUUAGUUGGUUUUAAUUAGAUAUAAGAUUGUUACUAGGAUUUUUAGUGGCUAAGAUAGCUAGCUGCUAUAUAAGGAAAGUUGUAAGAAAAAACGGUUGUUGUUGUAAAAGUUGAAUAUUAUAAUAUAUACAUAUUGUUACUGUUACAUUGAGUAAGAAGUGAAGUUGGGGUUCUAUCAUGGUUUGGUACACACGAUUGGAUUGGAGGUUGAGGAUGCAAGUGAAUGGUUUUUCAUUUGGAGGAGAUCAGAAGAUGAUUAGCCAUGAAGGAAUUUCAUCCCUUAUAAUCCUACCAUUUUAAGGAGAAUUGGAAUGGAUAAUCUUUCUUCAUGAGUAAUCCAUCUUCUAUUCUUUUAAAAAAGUGAUCAUAAUUUUAUAAUUUCUCCCUUCACCAUACUUUUAAUUCACUAAAUUAUCAGUUCCAACUUAAUCAUGUGUAUCAAGUUAGCCCUUGAUGUGGUUAAGGCAUUACGCUCCAUGUUUUUAGGCAUUUGAGUGUUUAGUCGAAUUAUUUUGAGUUUUUAGCCCCUUUACUAAAGAUUAAUCUAUUUGGGUGGAUAACUUACUAAAUAAGUGUGACAAUCAUACAGUCAGUCCUAUUCAAGUAUGAUCACCUCUAUUAAAAAAAUGUAAGGUUAAACUCAGCUUAUUUUAUGAAGUUUAUUGGUUUUCAACAUUUGGUACAUGAAAUUUUUUUCAUUUCAGUCUAGUAUCCAAAUUCAUAAUUCUAGGAUACUUUCAUACAUCAGUUAAAUUUUUUGUCAAAACUUUCGUUAACUAAUGACGUGGAGUUCACGUAGAUAAUGAUUGCACACUACGUGUAGACCCACGUAGAUAUUAAAAAUAAAAAACCUAAACCUAAAACCCACAAAGAUCAUGCCCAAAAUCCAAUUCAAUCCAUUCCCGACCCUAACCCUAAAAAGAAUCAAUCUUUGAUACUCAUGGUUUGGUCAGUGUGAUUUCUCAUCUAGGGUGGUGUGGAUUCGAACCAAGUUUCAUGAAUCACCAUAAAAAAUAAAGAACCCAGCUUUGUUUGCUCACCGAAACCCCAAGCGAUUCAAUCCCACCGACGAUGGACAUGAAAGUGGCAGAGGAACUAGAAUUCUGAGGGAAAGGUGACGUCCGUUGAGGAACCGUGCACGGCGAGUUCAAAAUCAGCGAAACUCUCUAUAUGGCGUCGUAGGUAGAUUUGUUGUUGGCUUCUCUGAAUUCGAACAUAAUCGAAUCGGUGGUGGUUGAGAUCGGGAAGGUAACAGAGUUGUUGAGAUCGGGCCACCUCAGCUGCACCCGAGAUCGGGCCUGAGUGAACCCCGUAGUGAGGGAAGCAAGAAGCUGUGACAGAAAGGAACGGAACAAGGAGGAGGGUUUUCAAUUUUUGAAUUUGAUGGUGUUGAAUUUCGUGGGUUUUUUUUAUAGUUUUGUGAUGGAGAGAAGAGGGUGAAUGUGCAGGAGUUGAAGAGGGAGGGGAGGCACUGGGUGCGGAGGAGGGAGGAUGAAGAGGGUGGAUGUGUAGGAGUCGAAGAGGGAGGGGGAGCACUUGCCCACUGGGUGCGGAGGAAGAGAGAAGAGCCCAGAUUGAUGUUUACUUCUAUUUUUGUUACAUUUUAUUUAUUUUUAAAAAUUUUUGAUAUCUAUAUUGAUACGUGACCCCAAUCAUUGUUCACGUGGACAUCACGUUAGCAAUUAACGAAA
Molecule: long non-coding RNA, 26738 nt
Filed under: Malus domestica (apple)
Lineage: Eukaryota; Viridiplantae; Streptophyta; Magnoliopsida; Rosales; Rosaceae
Description: long non-coding RNA (MDOM_LNC002046)
Source: RNAcentral